CCUACGGGUGGCAGCAGUGAGGAAUAUUGGUCAAUGGGCGGAAGUCUGAACCAGCCAUGCCGCGUGCAGGAAGACUGCUCUAUGGGUUGUAAACUUCUUUUGUCCAAGGGUAAACCUGGAUACGUGUAUUCAGCUGAAAGUACUGUACGAAUAAGGAUCGGCUAACUCCGUGCCAGCAGCCGCGGUAAUACGGAGGAUCCAAGCGUUAUCCGGAUUUAUUGGGGUUAAAGGGUGGGUAGGCGGAUUGAUAAGUUAGGGGUGAAAUGUUCGGGCUUAACUCGGGAACUGCCUUUAAUACUGGUGGUCUAGAGAGUAGAUGAGGUAGGCGGAAUGCGUGGUGUAGCGGUGAAAUGCUUAGAGAUCAUACAGAACACCGAUUGCGAAGGCAGCUUACCAAUCU
This 400-nucleotide ribosomal RNA is filed under the name uncultured bacterium. RNAcentral's name for it is "partial 16S ribosomal RNA". It matches the Rfam family "Bacterial small subunit ribosomal RNA", at positions 338 to 735 of the family's 1533-position model. The record is from RNAcentral.